UGGGGAAUAUUGCACAAUGGGCGAAAGCCCGAUGCAGCGACGCCGCGUGAGGGAUGACGGCCUUCGGGUUGUAAACCUCUUUCGCUCAUGGUCAAGCCGCAACAGUGGUUGUGGUGAGGGUAGUGGGUAAAGAAGCGCCGGCUAACUACGUGCCAGCAGCCGCGGUAAUACGUAGGGCGCGAGCGUUGUCCGGAAUUAUUGGGCGUAAAGGGCUUGUAGGCGGUUGGUCGCGUCUGCCGUGAAAUCCUCUGGCUUAACUGGGGGCGUGCGGUGGGUACGGGCUGACUUGAGUGCGGUAGGGGAGACUGGAACUCCUGGUGUAGCGGUGGAAUGCGCAGAUAUCAGGAAGAACACCGGUGGCGAAGGCGGGUCUCUGGGCCGUUACUGACGCUGAGGAGCGAAAGCGUGGGGAGCGAACAGGAUUAGAUACCCUGGUAGUCCACGCUGUAAACGUUGGGCACUAGGUGUGGGGGCCACCCGUGGUUUCUGCGCCGUAGCUAACGCUUUAAGUGCCCCGCCUGGGGAGUACGGCCGCAAGGCUA
RNAcentral lists this ribosomal RNA (542 nucleotides) under uncultured bacterium. RNAcentral's name for it is "bacterial SSU rRNA". It matches the Rfam family "Bacterial small subunit ribosomal RNA", at positions 355 to 896 of the family's 1533-position model. The record is from RNAcentral.